AAGCAUGUCAGAAGGACACAUUUUGGUUAAUUACUUGUAUCUUUCCCAAGCUUCAUAGAGGGAUUCACCUUCCUUCUAUCUGAAGGUUUGGACCUUCACUCUAAGCUU
Small nucleolar RNA from Arachis duranensis, 108 nucleotides. Lineage: Eukaryota; Viridiplantae; Streptophyta; Magnoliopsida; Fabales; Fabaceae. The record is from RefSeq and is a predicted model, not a curated record.